GAGUUGAUCCCAUGGCUCAGAUUGAACGCUGGCGGCAGGCCUAACACAUGCAAGUCGAGCGGUAGAGAGAAGCUUGCUUCUCUUGAGAGCGGCGGACGGGUGAGUAAUGCCUAGGAAUCUGCCUGGUAGUGGGGGAUAACGCUCGGAAACGGACGCUAAUACCGCAUACGUCCUACGGGAGAAAGCAGGGGACCUUCGGGCCUUGCGCUAUCAGAUGAGCCUAGGUCGGAUUAGCUAGUUGGUGAGGUAAUGGCUCACCAAGGCGACGAUCCGUAACUGGUCUGAGAGGAUGAUCAGUCACACUGGAACUGAGACACGGUCCAGACUCCUACGGGAGGCAGCAGUGGGGAAUAUUGGACAAUGGGCGAAAGCCUGAUCCAGCCAUGCCGCGUGUGUGAAGAAGGUCUUCGGAUUGUAAAGCACUUUAAGUUGGGAGGAAGGGCAUUAACCUAAUACGUUAGUGUUUUGACGUUACCGACAGAAUAAGCACCGGCUAAC
This 498-nucleotide ribosomal RNA is filed under the name Pseudomonas sp. CL1.97. Its description in RNAcentral is "bacterial SSU rRNA". It matches the Rfam family "Bacterial small subunit ribosomal RNA", at positions 9 to 501 of the family's 1533-position model. Lineage: Bacteria; Pseudomonadati; Pseudomonadota; Gammaproteobacteria; Pseudomonadales; Pseudomonadaceae. The record is from RNAcentral.